Molecule: ribosomal RNA, 799 nt
Filed under: Phanerochaete sordida
Lineage: Eukaryota; Fungi; Basidiomycota; Agaricomycetes; Polyporales; Phanerochaetaceae
Description: eukaryotic LSU rRNA
Rfam family: 5.8S ribosomal RNA (bases 256-409)
Source: RNAcentral
UAGAGGAAGUAAAAGUCGUAACAAGGUUUCCGUAGGUGAACCUGCGGAAGGAUCAUUAACGAGUUAUUGAACAGGUUGUAGCUGGCCUUCAGGGGCAUGUGCACGCCUGGCUCAUCCACUCUUCAACCUCUGUGCACUUAUUGUAGGUCGGUGGAAGAGUAAGUCUAAGUGAUUAGACUUGCUUGGAAGCCUUCCUAUGUUUUUACAAACGCUUCAGUUUAAGAAUGUAUCUCUGCGUAUAACGCAUUUAUAUACAACUUUCAGCAACGGAUCUCUUGGCUCUCGCAUCGAUGAAGAACGCAGCGAAAUGCGAUAAGUAAUGUGAAUUGCAGAAUUCAGUGAAUCAUCGAAUCUUUGAACGCACCUUGCGCUCCCUGGUAUUCCGGGGAGCAUGCCUGUUUGAGUGUCAUGGUAUUCUCAACCUUCAUAACUUUUGUUAUCGAAGGCUUGGAUUUGGAGGUUGUGCUGGCUUCUCGUCAAGUCGGCUCCUCUUAAAAGCAUUAGCGUGAGUGUAACGGAUCGCUUCGGUGUGAUAAUUAUCUGCGCCGUGGUCGUGAAGUAACAUAAGCUUGCGCUUCUAACCGUCCUUCAGCUGGACAAAUUUACUCUGACAUCUGACCUCAAAUCAGGUAGGACUACCCGCUGAACUUAAGCAUAUCAAUAAGCGGAGGAAAAGAAACUAACAAGGAUUCCCCUAGUAACUGCGAGUGAAGCGGGAAAAGCUCAAAUUUAAAAUCUGAUAGUCUUUGGCUGUCCGAGUUGUAAUCUGGAGAAGCGUCUUCCGCGCUGGACCGUGUAC